Molecule: ribosomal RNA, 238 nt
Filed under: uncultured bacterium
Lineage: Bacteria
Description: partial 16S ribosomal RNA
Rfam family: Bacterial small subunit ribosomal RNA
Source: RNAcentral
CGGGUGAGUAAUACAUAAGUAACCUGCCCUAGACAGGGGGAUAACUAUUGGGAACGAUAGCUAAGACCGCAUAGGUACGGACACUGCAUGGUGACCGUAUUAAAAGUGCCUCAAAGCACUGGUAGAGGAUGGACUUAUGGCGCAUUAGCUGGUUGGCGGGGUAACGGCCCACCAAGGCGACGAUGCGUAGCCGACCCGAGAGGGUGACCGGCCACACUGGGACUGAGACACGGCCCAG